UGAAAUGUCCUUUAAGCUCCAAAAUGCUCCAAAAUCAUAGCUGUACUCCGAAAUGCACCUGAACCUGAAAACAUACCUAGAAGAGUAUAAAACAUAUAUAUAUAUAUAUAAAACACUUAUAUACCAUGGAUGAAAACGGGUCAAAUCCAAGGUAUAUCAUUGACCUUCUUGAAGUUGAAGCUCCUUUCUUUUGAAUCCCAGGUUUAAUAGAUCUGAAGCUUGUCUUUUCUAGAUCCCCUGGUUUAAAAUUAGUAAUAUGGUUGUAAUGAGUAUAAGUAAUUAAAAGAUACACGGCUUGUUUGAAGUAAAAACAUGAGUAUGCAAAAUUACUUGUUAAUGAUGUGAAGCAAGAUCUCAGCUCUGGGGUGUUAGGAACUUGUGAUCUAAUUUGGUCGAGACCUUGGAAACAUAUCAAAAUUAAACUCAUUAUAAAGGAUUUCAAGGUUAACCGAUUUGUGGUGAUAAGCAUGGUUGGACAUGAAACACUUACCAAGGACACACCUUCGUAUUUUUCUUGGUGUAUGUGGUGAAAGCAUGCUUAUCUUGUCAUAUGGGGUUGUAUUGCUUGGUACUUGCCGGUUUUCAAAGAGUCUAUAAUAUAUAGAGCAUAAAGGAAUUUCUUUAAAGGCUAUAGUACUUGAAGAACUGUGCCUUUGAGGUUCAACUAAUGAGGUUGUCGUUUUUUCUGUUGCAGGUUCGACUUCAGUGAUUGGUUUUGGUUUUUUCCGUUUCAUCUUCAGAAAAUCGAGACCAAGAAAUUUUUCUCGUUUCAGUAAGAGGAUGAGAGAGUAGCCGAAAGAGGAGAUUGGUCGUGACUGAUAAAUUUAUUUAAGAGGUAUUCUUCAAUUACUGUUUCUAAUUUUAGAUUCAUAAUAUAUGGUUGGCUUUAAUUUAGGAAAACUGUUGAUAACAAUUAGGAUUCUUGAUAUCUUUUUUUCAGUGAUAUACUUCUGAUUUUGGUACUGUACUUUAUAUAACUUUAAAUUGUUUUUUAAGGUCGUAGCAAUCUUGUAAAUGGAGAUUACAAAGGCCUGUGAAGAAUAUGGAAGCAUCAAAGUGUUAUAUGAAUCAAAACUGUCUUAUAGCAGGCGACUACUAUGAUAUUGAACUGGUAUGUCAUGUAUAAACUCAUCUUAUAUUUCUUUGAUAGUUUGUAGGAUGGUAAAAAUCGGUAAACCAGACAAAAUUUGGUUUAGUUAGGAGAAUCGAAUGGUUAGUUAGGUGGUUAGUUAGGCGAAUCUAUUGAUUAUUUAAUUGAAUUUUGAAGACUGGUUGUCCAUUGUUUAGAUGUUGAACUAAUGGAAUGGAAAAGUCAGAUCAAAUUGUAUAGAGUCUAAUCUAAUUAUAUAAUCUAAUUUAUGGAAUGAUAUAGGAAAUCUCAAUAUUCUUAAAUAUAAAAAACCAAUCCAAUAAGAAAAACCAAUAAAAAGCAAUGCAUAAAUCAUAAAGUUCAGAAAUAAUUAAAGUAAAAAACAUCAUUAAACAUAAGGGGGGGGGGGGGGGGUGGUUGAUGGCGAAGUGGACACAUUCUCUUGAGACUAUUCUUUCUUUUCCUUCUCUUGUUUAAUCAUCUUGGUGCACAGCUUCUUGGAAGAAGAUGAUAUGUCUGUUAGAUCAGAAUGAUCUUCUUUGCGCUUUGUGAUGGGAGUGGGAAAAUCUUCUGAUGAAUUCUGAUCCAACAUCAGAACCUAAAAUUAGAUUAAAUUAAUCAGUAAGAUUGUAUUAUAAAAGUCCAAAUUAAAACAGACACAAAGUAAGACCAAAUAUAAAAUUCCAAGUUAAAACAGACAAAAAAGAAGACCAAAUGUAAGGCUCAUGUUUUUUAAUACUAAUACACUUACAGAUCCAGAUGACAUGGUGGAAGAUGUUGUGGCCAUACCAGAAAAUGAGUAAGAGCCAUUUUCAAUACUUAAAACUUUAGCUCCAGAAAAAACCUCUAAAACCACAAACGUGACCGCUCCAUUUGUAACAUUAUCAGAGCUUAUAGAAAGCCCAAAACAGAAAAACUUUCCAACCAAACUAAGAAUAUGUUCUGGUAGUAUCUCUGGAUCUUCAAUCUACAAAAAAAUAGCAAUAUAUUUAUUUGUUAUUAUGGGUAAUGUUAGUGGUUUACACACAAUUUGAACAAAAUAAUACCUCUUCAUAAGAGCCAUCCCAUAGCUCUUCAGCUUUAACUCCAACGAUUGACUGACCAACAGAUCCUAGCAACAUUAGGUUACAUGUCCAUGUGUCAUCUUUCACAACCAAAUGUAGGUUGAAUCUACUCAAACAACAAAAUUUUGUAUUGUUAGGACAUGUAUGAGAAUAAAAAAGGUAAUACGGGCCUAAGCUUUGAAAUUAAUUACUUGAGUGACACGUUAGUGAUAUUGGAACGGCAAACUUCACAGCGAAACUAUGGUUUAUCUUUCUUUGUCAUCCUCCCAUAAUCAACGUUGGGAGCUUAUUGACACGUUUCUGGUGCCGGAUACAACCAAAAUAGAACCAUGCCCAAUAUGUAUCUAUUGCCUCAACAGAACAUAUUAUUUUGCAAAUCUCCACCUAUAUUGGUUUAAAAAGAAAACAUUAUGUGAUUUUAUGUUGAUAACAUUAAACCAUUUGAAAAAAAAUCGGAGCAGACAACAUAUGUACCUGAUUGGCCUCAUUGACUUCUGCAGUUGAUUUGAUCUCAGCAUCAUUCCAGUCAUAUUUAAUUCUUUUACCAUCCUUCUUUCCAUCAUGUUUGUCCACCAGCGCAACAGAUAGAUGAUCAUCUGACAGCCUACAAAGAAUUAAGAUCACACCAACAUCAGUGUGUGGAUAUGAUUCUAUAAUACAAACAUGAAACAACACUAAAAGAAAUCGAUGUUUAACCUUUCUGUUAAAUCUGUAAGUUCAGGGAUCAUCGGAUUCAAGUAGAGGCGUGUUGCAUCAAAAGCGUUUGUGAUUUGUACCUCACCUAGUUAACAUAGAUUAAAUUAUGUGCAAAAAUAUAGAGAAAAAGUAUUUUUACACGUUUAAAAAUACAAUUAAAAUACCUCUAAAGUCUUUGAUUUUUGCAAACCUGAUCAAACAAACAAUUGAUUGAUCUUUGUCCUCAGUAAAAGGUUCAAGACAAAGACGCCCCGAGAGAGUCAACGGAACAGAAUCCCGAUGAAACGGCUCCGGCAGGGCAGAGAACAACGUCGGAUAACCUUCCCCCCCCCCCCCCCCCCCGCAGUGGGAAGCGAAGGAGACGACAUCGAACGAAUCAACCUGGACAUCAGCGAUCGAUCGGAUCAUUCUGACGACGCCGCUGAUAUCCAUCCUAGAAGGACCCGAAGUCGGUCCACUCGACAGACAGUGACCUUUGAGAAACCCAUGACAGAAGAGGAAGAAAACCUCUACUGGGUGGAACAGGAAAAACUGGCCGACGACCAAACUCGGAUCUAUCGCAACCAGGGCCGACAACUCGGAAGAGCGCAGGUGGCGAUGACGAAAUCCACAAUUUACGCGAGUACAUCGCAAAAACUGCAGCCGAGGUGAAGGCGGUAAAAUCGCAAAUUCACCACGCAACCAGUACCGCUCCCGAGAUCGACAGACUUCUCGAGGAAGCACGAAAAAAUCCGUUCACCGCCCGGAUCACGGAAGCAGAGGUCUCAGACCCCGGGAAGAUAAAAAUUCCCGUCUACGACGGUACCGCUGUUCCAAAUGCACAUCUGCAGUCUUUCCAGAUUGCGAUGGGACGGUGUAAACUCCCGGAACGAGAACGAGACGCCGGUUACUGCCUCCUUUUCGUCAAAAAUCUCAGAGGCGCCGCGCUUGAGUGGUUUUCUCAUCUCGACAGAAACUCCAUCGGAAGUUUCCGCCAGCUAGCCUAGGCAUUUCUCAAACAAUUCUCCAUGUUCAUGGAUAGAGAAACUUCCGAUGUGGACUUAUGGAGUUUAGCUCAGAAAGAAGACUAGCCACUCCGUCACUUCAUGAGUAGAUUCAAACUGGUGAUGUCCAGGGUAACGGGAAUCAGCGACAAAGUCCCAAUAGACGCCCUAAGAAAAACUCUCUGGUACAGGUCAAAGUUCCGCAAGUGGAUAUCUCUGGAAAGACCGCGGACGAUCCAGGAUACCCUCCAUAAGGCCAAAGACUUCAUCAUCAUGGAAGAAGAGAUGAAAGUCCAAGCGCAAAAGCACGGGCCGCAGGAACCAUCCGACAAGAAGAAAUCCUCCUGUAACGACAAGUACGUCCACCACGAGGGGGAAGACGUCCAAGGCAAACAUAACUACACCGUCAAUUCCGAAAAGGGUUAAACCUUCGGAAACACUUGGACCAGGAACCAGUACAAGGAUAAUUCCUACUGCGAGUUCCAUCAGGUUAGAAGUCACUCCACCACCAACUGCAAGGUCCUUGGUGCCAGGCUCGCUGCAAAUCUCCUCGCCGGCGAACUAGCAAAGGUCACGAGCAUAAAAGACCUGGUCCUGGAUUCCAAUCGCCCGCCGAAGACUGAUUAGGCCGCUCCCGAGAACAGUGCACCUGAAAAUCACUCGAGCGAAAAGCGCGGAAGGAGACAGGAUGAUCAGGGAAACAAUAACAAUCGCCAAAGAAUAAACAUGAUCAUCGGAGGAUCGCAGUUCUACCAAGACUCGUUCUCGUCGAUCAAAGCUUACGGGCAAAAAGCCGAGACCAGUUCCAACUGGCUUCUGGAAAAUGACGUCCCCAACCACACGAUCGUUUUCGAGGAACAAGAAACCGUCGGAAUCGACAAGCCUCAUUACGAUCCUCUAGUCAUCGAUUUGGUAAUCCAAGAUCUCGAAGUCGGCCGCAUCCUUGUCGAUACAGGAAGUACGGUCUACAUCAUGUUCCGCGACACCCUCCAUAGGAUGGAUAUCCCGCUUGGAGAAGUCAUCCCGGAGCCGAGACCUCUGACUGUAUUCUCGGGCGUCACCUGUAUGACCCUCGGGAGGAUUAAACUCCCGGUCAUGGCUAAGGAAGUUACAAAAAUCGUCGAGUUCGCAGUAGUCGAUAACCCGGCCAUUUACAACGUGAUUAUGGGAACCCCCUGGAUAAACACCAUGAAGACAGUACCAUCCACAUAUCAUCUUGGCAUCAAAUUCCCGACUCCAACUGGAAUCGUAGUAAUCUUGGGAAGCUAGAAACAGUCGAGACUUUGCUUCCUAGCCGAGCACCAACUACGAAAAAACUGGAACGCCCCCGUGGCUAAUCCAAAGCGAGCGAAAAAAUCGCUAAACAUUCCCGAGAAGUCGGGAAAGGAUGAUCCAGAAUCGUCCCAUUUGGCAACGACCCAAGAAGACGACAAAGUCCCCGGGUCCAUCGCCGUAGAAGCGGACAACUCAACUCCCGAAAAGACCACCGACCUAGCUAGUACGGUCGAGACGUUGACACUCGGAGAGUAGAAACACCCGCAACAACAAACAGAACUAUGAGAUGGCUUAAUCCUCGAAAGAGGUACGUAGGCAGCUCGCUGGAACCUGGCGAGUUCAGCUAUUCCCCUCUUCAAAAAUGGGGGGGGGGAGUGGGUACGUAUACUAGUAUACUCCCCCAAAAGUUCAAAAUACCCGCACAUGUAUUCGAUAUUUUCGAAACUUUUUCAAUAAAAUUCUUUCUCUCGAUUUUUCAAUGCUUACUUAACACAGUAACACAUAAACAAAUCGGAAAACGAAAAUCACAUCCUCAAGGAACGCAAGACGUCGCAAUUUCGCAAAAGAUAUCGAUUUCAUAUCAUCCGUCAAAACAGUCCGUCUGCGACUUUAAAAAAAAACACACACACCCGUCGAUUGGCCCCGACGGGUAAACAUAGAAACGUUUCACUAAAAGAAAUUCGUAGUCAGAUCUUUAAUAAAAGGUCCUCUUACAUCUGACAAGGAUACCAUAGCGCGCUAUACAAGAAAUCCAAAAUUUGGUUUAACACUCCUUUGGAGAUAGCUCGAUUCUUACUACACAAGUCGCAUAAGCCGGUGCCAAGUCGCAGACUUUAAUCAGUAAGAGUCAGGAAGAAAUCACUAACAGGCAAAACAAAAGCCGAUCAGUCGUCGCACAGCCUUAAAGCUGAGAGUAAACCUAGGUCUUGCCCUAAACCCAGCCUUGCUGGUACUUAACAUCUCACAGACAUAGUAUCAGUACCCGAUACGAGAUCUAAAACAUGUCUCUCAUCGCUUACACCUAAAACGCUCGCUAAAAAGUAGCAUACGGACCAAGCGACAAAAUAAGAGUUAGAAUACGAAGUGACUACUCGCAUUCUACCCUCUACACUUGACGAAAGUAUAAAUCAAAUCAUAAAACAAAAUUUUCGAAAAAUCUAUAUUUUUAUUCAUAAAACCCGCAAAAACGGCAGGGAUUCAAAGCCACCAACGGCCAGUCCCGAAAUAUACAAAGUUACGCGACCUCCUACGGUCGCGGCAUAUACAACUAAACGGCCACACACGGCC
Molecule: long non-coding RNA, 6395 nt
Organism: Brassica rapa (field mustard)
Lineage: Eukaryota; Viridiplantae; Streptophyta; Magnoliopsida; Brassicales; Brassicaceae
Source: RefSeq, a predicted model, not a curated record